This 468-nucleotide ribosomal RNA is filed under the name uncultured bacterium. RNAcentral describes it as "partial 16S ribosomal RNA". It matches the Rfam family "Bacterial small subunit ribosomal RNA", at positions 28 to 507 of the family's 1533-position model. The record is from RNAcentral.
GACGAACGCUGGCGGCGUGCUUAACACAUGCAAGUCGAACGGAAAGGCCCUGCUUUUGUGGGGUGCUCGAGUGGCGAACGGGUGAGUAACACGUGAGUAACCUGCCCUUGACUUUGGGAUAACUUCAGGAAACUGGGGCUAAUACCGGAUAGGAGCUCCUGCUGCAUGGUGGGGGUUGGAAAGUUUCGGCGGUUGGGGAUGGACUCGCGGCUUAUCAGCUUGUUGGUGGGGUAGUGGCUUACCAAGGCUUUGACGGGUAGCCGGCCUGAGAGGGUGACCGGGCAGAGUGGGACGGAGAUACGGACCAGACGGCUACGGGAGGCAGCAGUGGGGAAUAGGGCACAAUGGGCGGAAGCAUGAGGCAGCAACGACGCGGGCGGGAGGACGGCCUUAGGGUUGGAAACCGAGUUCGCCUGGGAAGAAGCGUGAGUGACGGUAAUGGGUAAAGAAGCAACGGCUAACUACGUG